This 945-nucleotide long non-coding RNA is filed under the name Macaca mulatta (Rhesus monkey). RNAcentral describes it as "lncRNA (ENSMMUG00000040895.2)". Lineage: Eukaryota; Metazoa; Chordata; Mammalia; Primates; Cercopithecidae. The record is from RNAcentral.
GACAUGGUGAGAGUGCUCUGGUCAGCUAGCCAUCUCACGUUUUGUGGAAGAUUGUCUGGUGUUCUGACCUUGGUUGGAUUUAUGCCUACGAAGAUGCGUGGUUUGACAAAAGAUCUACAUCCCUUUCUACAUAGUGGCUUCCUAGGUGAACUCUUCCUUCUUUGACUUUUGACAAUUUCAUCCUCAGAUGGGCAGGCUGGAGGCCUGGGUGACUCUUGGUCAGAGGGAGCAGCCUGGGAGGACUGCAGUUCUAACCCUUGGACAAGGCAAGUGGUGCAGCUGCUGAGCUGGAGAGGUUUUCUUUGUGAAAAAGGCAGCUGAAGUCGCAGAAAGGGAUCUGGACUGAGAAUCAGGAGAAGUGGAUUCAGUUCACACUCAGCCACUUUUUGUGUGACCUUGGGAAGAGCAACUACACUCUUGAUGCCCAGUUUCUUUAUUUGUAAAGGAAACAAUUGAAUAAAGUGAUCUGUACUUUUUCUCCCUGCUUUAAAAUGACUCUCUAGAAGUUAUGAAAAUUGAAAAUAGCUCACAAAAGCCCAGUAACUUUUGCUUUCUUCUUCAUUCUAAGAGAGAAGAAUUAAAGUGAACUUUCCAGUUCAUUGUUACAAAAGAAAAGAAAAGAAAAGAAAAAAAAAGAAAAGAAAAGAAAAGAAAAGAAAAAAAAAGAAAAGAAAAGAAAAGAAAAGAAAAAGGCAUCUUUUCUCUUUGAGAAACACCAAAAUUACUCUGCCCCCUAAUAGUCGCCUGGGUAGAAUUUUCCAUCUUAGCACAAAGCGGCUCGGCUCGACCUGGUUUCAACUAAUCCCUUCUCUGUAUUUAACAAGAGGAACUGGAAGAGUCAGACAGUGUGUGGGAAGACUGAAGAAAAUAAGGAAGGUCCGCAGUUUGGGUCUGGAAUCGAGUCUCCUAUUGUUGAAGGCCUUUGACGCUCAUCCUGACUCCUGA